This 229-nucleotide ribosomal RNA is filed under the name uncultured bacterium. RNAcentral describes it as "partial 16S ribosomal RNA". It matches the Rfam family "Bacterial small subunit ribosomal RNA", at positions 568 to 796 of the family's 1533-position model. The record is from RNAcentral.
UGCGUAGGCGGAAUGAUAAGUCAGUGGUGAAAUCCUACAGCUUAACUGUAGAACUGCCAUUGAUACUGUUGUUCUUGAGUACAUUUGAAGUGGGCGGAAUGUGUCAUGUAGCGGUGAAAUGCAUAGAGAUGACACAGAACACCGAUCGCGAAGGCAGCUCACUAAACUAUAACUGACGCUCAGGCACGAAAGCGUGGGGAGCAAACAGGAUUAGAUACCCUGGUAGUCC